RNAcentral lists this ribosomal RNA (478 nucleotides) under uncultured bacterium. RNAcentral's name for it is "partial 16S ribosomal RNA". It matches the Rfam family "Bacterial small subunit ribosomal RNA", at positions 28 to 523 of the family's 1533-position model. The record is from RNAcentral.
GACGAACGCUGGCGGCGUGCUUAACACAUGCAAGUCGAACGGUAAGGCCCUUCGGGGUACACGAGUGGCGAACGGGUGAGUAACACGUGGGUGAUCUGCCCUGCACUUCGGGAUAAGCCUGGGAAACUGGGUCUAAUACCGGAGAGGACCACUGCCUGCAUGGGUGGUGGUGGAAAGCUUUUGGGGUGGGGGAGGGGCCCGCGGCCUAUCAGCUUGUUGGUGGGGUGAUGGCCUACCAAGGCGACGACGGGUAGCCGGCCUGAGAGGGUGACCGGCCACACUGGGACUGAGAUACGGCCCAGACUCCUACGGGAGGCAGCAGUGGGGAAUAUUGCGCAAUGGGCGCAAGCCUGAUGCAGCGACGCCGCGUGAGGGAUGACGGCCUUCGGGUUGUAAACCUCUUUCAGCACCGACGAAGCGCAAGUGACGGUAGGUGCAGAAGAAGGACCGGCCAACUACGUGCCAGCAGCAGCCGCCG